RNAcentral lists this ribosomal RNA (254 nucleotides) under uncultured bacterium. Its description in RNAcentral is "partial 16S ribosomal RNA". It matches the Rfam family "Bacterial small subunit ribosomal RNA", at positions 524 to 776 of the family's 1533-position model. The record is from RNAcentral.
UACGUGGGACCCAAGCGUUAUCCGGAAUUACUGGGCGUAAAGAGUUGCGUAGGUGGCAAUGCAAGUAGAUGGUGAAAUCCUGGGGCUCAACCCCUUCAACAUUAUCUAAACUGCAUAGCUUGAGUAUGGGAGAGGUAGAUGGAAUUUCUAGUGUAGGAGUGAAAUCCGUAGAUAUUAGAAGGAACACCGAUGGCGUAAGCAGUCUACUGGCCCAUUACUGACACUAAGGCACGAAAGCGUGGGGAGCGAACGGG